UACGUAGGGGGCUAGCGUUAUCCGGAUUUACUGGGCGUAAAGGGUGCGUAGGCGGUCUUUCAAGUCAGGAGUGAAAGGCUACGGCUCAACCGUAGUAAGCUCUUGAAACUGUAAGACUUGAGUGCAGGAGAGGAGAGUGGAAUUCCUAGUGUAGCGGUGAAAUGCGUAGAGAUUAGGAAGAACACCAGUGGCGAAGGCGAUUCUCUGGACUGUAACUGACGCUGAGGCUCGAAAGCGUGGGGAGCAAACAGGAUUAGAUACCCGGGUAGUCCCUGA
This 276-nucleotide ribosomal RNA is filed under the name uncultured prokaryote. RNAcentral's name for it is "partial 16S ribosomal RNA". It matches the Rfam family "Bacterial small subunit ribosomal RNA", at positions 524 to 800 of the family's 1533-position model. The record is from RNAcentral.